UACGAAGGGGGCUAGCGUUGCUCGGAAUCACUGGGCGUAAAGCGCGCGUAGGCGGCUUGUUAAGUCAGGGGUGAAAUCCUGGAGCUCAACUCCAGAACUGCCUUUGAUACUGGCGAGCUUGAGUCCGGGAGAGGUGAGUGGAACUGCGAGUGUAGAGGUGAAAUUCGUAGAUAUUCGCAAGAACACCAGUGGCGAAGGCGGCUCACUGGCCCGGUACUGACGCUGAGGUGCGAAAGCGUGGGGAGCAAACAGG
RNAcentral lists this ribosomal RNA (253 nucleotides) under uncultured bacterium. Its description in RNAcentral is "partial 16S ribosomal RNA". It matches the Rfam family "Bacterial small subunit ribosomal RNA", at positions 524 to 776 of the family's 1533-position model. The record is from RNAcentral.